Molecule: ribosomal RNA, 252 nt
Filed under: uncultured bacterium
Lineage: Bacteria
Description: partial 16S ribosomal RNA
Rfam family: Bacterial small subunit ribosomal RNA
Source: RNAcentral
UACGUAGGGCGCAAGCGUUGUCCGGAAUUAUUGGGCGUAAAGAGCUCGUAGGCGGUCUGUCGCGUCGGCUGUGAAAACCCGAGGCUCAACCUCGGGCCGCAGUGGGUACGGGCAGACUAGAGUGCGGUAGGGGAGAUUGGAAUUCCUGGUGUAGCGGUGGAAUGCGCAGAUAUCAGGAGGAACACCGAUGGCGAAGGCAGAUCUCUGGGCCGUAACUGACGCUGAGGAGCGAAAGCGUGGGGAGCGAACAGG